UUUGUGUUGGCCUGCAUGUGCUGCAUAAUUUUGUCUACCUAACUAAGGAGGCAACAAAAUUUUUGUUAGUUCACUACAGUGCUCUUAAUAUUGACUAGUUGUGGACAAACGCAAGCUCCUGAUCUGCCCUUAAUUGGGUGUAUCAGCUGUAAGUUUGCGGACGUACCUUGAACAAAUCGGCUUGUUCAAAGUAGGCCUAGUGCCUGGACAUUCUAGCAUGGAAUGUUCGAUCGAGACCUGAUCGUUUGGUCGGAAACGAGUAAGGUCCAGGUCAAAAGAGACAUUUGGGGGCAUAAGAACUCGGCCGCGAGAGGUGAAAUUCUAAGACCGGCCGAGGUCUAACAAAAGCGAAAGCAUUUGCCAAGAAUGUUUUCAUUGAUCAAGAACGAAAGUUGGAGGAGCGAAAACGAUCAGAUACCGUUGUAGUUCCAACUUUAAACUAUGCCGGCUGUCGGGGCCAGUUCGGGUACAUCCGUACUAAUUGACCUCCCAGGGAAACCUUAGCAGGGUUCUGGGGGGAGUACGGUCGCAAGUCUGAAACUUAAAGGAAUUGACGGAAGGGCACCACCAGGAGUGGAGCCUGCGGCUUAAUUUGACUCAACGCGGGGAAACUUACCCGGUCCGGACAUCGGAAGGAUUGACAGACUGAUCGCUCUUUCAUGAUACGGUGAAAGGUGGUGCAUGGCCGUUCAUAGUUGGUGGAGCGAUUUGUCUGGUUAAUUCCGUUAACGAACGAGACUUCUUCCUUCAUUUAGUAGAUUUAAUUGGGGUUUAGAUCAACUAAUUGAAGGGACUAACGCUA
Molecule: ribosomal RNA, 802 nt
Filed under: Tetracapsuloides sp. SG-2001
Lineage: Eukaryota; Metazoa; Cnidaria; Myxozoa; Malacovalvulida; Saccosporidae
Description: SSU rRNA
Rfam family: Eukaryotic small subunit ribosomal RNA
Source: RNAcentral